CAGCAGCCGCGGGAAUACGGAGGGUGCAAGCGUUAAUCGGAAUUACUGGGCGUAAAGCGCACGCAGGCGGUCUGUCAAGUCAGAUGUGAAAUCCCCGGGCUUAACCUGGGAACUGCAUUUGAAACUGGCAGGCUAGAGUCUUGUAGAGGGGGGUAGAAUUCCAGGUGUAGCGGUGAAAUGCGUAGAGAUCUGGAGGAAUACCGGUGGCGAAGGCGGCCCCCUGGACAAAGACUGACGCUCAGGUGCGAAAGCGUGAGGAGCAAACAGGAUUAGAUACCCCAGUAGUCCCUGUCUCUUAACC
This 301-nucleotide ribosomal RNA is filed under the name uncultured bacterium. RNAcentral's name for it is "partial 16S ribosomal RNA". It matches the Rfam family "Bacterial small subunit ribosomal RNA", at positions 509 to 808 of the family's 1533-position model. The record is from RNAcentral.